This 437-nucleotide long non-coding RNA is filed under the name Anser brachyrhynchus (Pink-footed goose). RNAcentral describes it as "lncRNA (ENSABRG00000011332.1)". The record is from RNAcentral. Lineage: Eukaryota; Metazoa; Chordata; Aves; Anseriformes; Anatidae.
GCUUUGCCUUUGCUUUUUCUUUAAGGAGAAAAGUUGAUGGGUUUUACCAUAACUGAGGUGCUGUUUUAUUUGACAGGCAACCACAGAUUUUGGUUUCAAACAAGGCUGAUUUAAUUUGUGACAAAUGCAAUGUGUGAAAGAAUGAAGCACUCCCAGGAAACUGCUGGCAUUCAACUCAGCUACAGUUUCAUAUGUAACAGAGAAACAGAGAUGACAAACUACUGGCCUGGAGUACAAAAUCCUUCAAGAGCACAAUGAAUUGGUGUUGAGUUCUGGCUUCAGUUCAGAGAUCAGAAACCAGAUGAAAGGUAGAUCAUAAAUUAUUUAAAGUUUCUUCAUCUACAGAAUGCCCAGAUGAAUGCACUGAGAUAUUCAGAGAUAGGAACCUAAAAAGAUUAUAAUGACUCAAUGAUUCUUGCCAACAAAUGAAAUAAAAA